AUUGAACGCUGGCGGCAGGCCUAACACAUGCAAGUCGAGCGGAUGAAGGGAGCUUGCUCCUGGAUUCAGCGGCGGACGGGUGAGUAAUGCCUAUGAAUCUGCCUGGUAGUGGGGGAUAACGUCCGGAAACGGGCGCUAAUACCGCAUACGUCCUGAGGGAGAAAGUGGGGGAUCUUCGGACCUCACGCUAUCAGAUGAGCCUAGGUCGGAUUAGCUAGUUGGUGGGGUAAAGGCCUACCAAGGCGACGAUCCGUAACUGGUCUGAGAGGAUGAUCAGUCACACUGGAACUGAGACACGGACCAGACUCCUACGGGAGGCAGCAGUGGGGAAUAUUGGACAAUGGGCGAAAGCCUGAUCCAGCCAUGCCGCGUGUGUGAAGAAGGUCUUCGGAUUGUAAAGCACUUUAAGUUGGGAGGAAGGGCAGUAAGUUAAUACCUUGCUGUUUUGACGUUACCAACAGAAUAAGCACCGGCUAACUUCGUG
This 484-nucleotide ribosomal RNA is filed under the name uncultured bacterium. Its description in RNAcentral is "partial 16S ribosomal RNA". It matches the Rfam family "Bacterial small subunit ribosomal RNA", at positions 30 to 507 of the family's 1533-position model. The record is from RNAcentral.